Long non-coding RNA from Gopherus evgoodei (Goodes thornscrub tortoise), 169 nucleotides. RefSeq lists it as uncharacterized. Lineage: Eukaryota; Metazoa; Chordata; Testudines; Testudinidae. The transcript is spliced from 2 exons. The record is from RefSeq and is a predicted model, not a curated record.
CAGCAACAUGCAGUAGACAUAGGGUGACAUUGAAAAAAGAGGCAGUGGGGUCUAAACACAUACCUGGAUUAUAAUGCUGUAUGAUUGAAGAUGACCAUUUGUAUCGCUGUUAUUCAAUUGCAACAUCUUAUACAAAAAGUGUAUCCCAUGUAAGGUGUCAAUGGAAAAA